This 573-nucleotide long non-coding RNA is filed under the name Marmota monax (woodchuck). The record is from RNAcentral. Lineage: Eukaryota; Metazoa; Chordata; Mammalia; Rodentia; Sciuridae.
CUUGGCUCAGGUCACUCUUCAGAAUCGACGAGCUAUAGACUUACUCACAGCCGAAAAAGGUGGAACCUGUCUUUUCUUGAGGGAAGAAUGCUGUUACUACAUCAAUGAAUCAGGCCUUGUGGAAACUAAUGUAGUCAAGCUCACCGACUUGGCUACCUCUUUGAAAAAUCCACCAAACCAAAACCCAUUUGCCACCUUCUUUUUAGCCCACUUCCAAUCGUGGCUGUUGCCUCUUUUAAGGCCCAUAUGUCUUCUUUUCCUGAUGUGUCUGUUCCUGCCCUGUCUGCUUCACUUCCUUCAGGGCCAAUUAUGGAAGAUCUCUAACCAAACUUUCAACCAGCCUCUGCUUAGGUACUAGCAGCCUCUGAUGACCAAUGAGCCCCCCAACAUCUUCAAGAGAACAGCUCACUCAUUGCUGAAGCUCACUACCAGGCUCGAUGGAAUGCAAUGGACAUCGGACAGUGGGAGACAACGAGCCCGGAGAACCUCUUAAUCUGCCAUCCUGGAUUCUUGAGCCUUUAUGUCCUUUUAAGCCUCCUCAUGGCCCUUGGCCUCUUCUCUGUCAGUCCCCCG